GACGAACGCUGGCGGCGUGCUUAACACAUGCAAGUCGAACGGUAAGGCCCUUCGGGGUACACGAGUGGCGAACGGGUGAGUAACACGUGGGUGAUCUGCCCUGCACUUCGGGAUAAGCCUGGGAAACUGGGUCUAAUACCGGAUAGGACUCCUGGCUUCAUGGUUGGGGGUGGAAAGAUUUUGCGGUGUGGGAUGGGCCCGCGGCCUAUCAGGUUGUUGGUGGGGUAAUGGCCUACCAAGGCGACGACGGGUAGCCGGCCUGAGAGGGUGACCGGUCACACUGGGACUGAGAUACGGCCCAGACUCCUACGGGAGGCAGCAGUGGGGAAUAUUGCACAAUGGGCGCAAGCCUGAUGCAGCGACGCCGCGUGAGGGAUGACGGCCUUCGGGUUGUAAACCUCUUUCAGCUAUGACGAAGCGCAAGUGACGGUAGUAGCAGAAGAAGGACCGGCCAACUACGUGCCAGCAGCCGCGGUAA
Molecule: ribosomal RNA, 478 nt
Filed under: uncultured bacterium
Lineage: Bacteria
Description: partial 16S ribosomal RNA
Rfam family: Bacterial small subunit ribosomal RNA
Source: RNAcentral